Molecule: ribosomal RNA, 325 nt
Filed under: uncultured Glomus
Lineage: Eukaryota; Fungi; Glomeromycota; Glomeromycetes; Glomerales; Glomeraceae
Description: SSU rRNA
Rfam family: Eukaryotic small subunit ribosomal RNA
Source: RNAcentral
GNGUUUAAAGCAAGCUCGCGCUUGAAUACAUUAGCAUGGAAUAAUGAAAUAGGACGUUUGAUUCUAUUUUAGUUGGUUUCUAGGAUCGACGUAAUGAUUAAUAGGGAUAGUUGGGGGCAUUAGUAUUCAAUUGUCAGAGGUGAAAUUCUUGGAUUUAUUGAAGACUAACUACUGCGAAAGCAUUUGCCAAGGAUGUUUUCAUUAAUCAAGAACGAAAGUUAGGGGAUCGAAGACGAUCAGAUACCGUCGUAGUCUUAACCAUAAACUAUGCCGACUAGGGAUCGGAUGAUGUUAAUUUUUUUAAUGACUCAUUCGGCGCCUUACG